This 205-nucleotide long non-coding RNA is filed under the name Lathyrus oleraceus (garden pea). RNAcentral's name for it is "Pisum sativum (pea) long non-coding RNA (PSAT_LNC001415)". The record is from RNAcentral. Lineage: Eukaryota; Viridiplantae; Streptophyta; Magnoliopsida; Fabales; Fabaceae.
GGUCAGGUAAAAAUGAACUCAGUUGACAUCAACCAAAGGGAAGAUCUGGUAGUGGAUAGACUCUCACCUAUGGAAGAUGUAAAAAUAGUACAGAUUGAUGUUCAAUCAACGCAAAUAACUCAAAUCGGCUCUAAUCUAUCCCUAGAGGAGGAAGACGGGAUCAUCAAAAUUUUAAGGCCGAACGUGGAUAUGUUCGCGUGGAAGU